RNAcentral lists this ribosomal RNA (253 nucleotides) under uncultured bacterium. RNAcentral describes it as "partial 16S ribosomal RNA". It matches the Rfam family "Bacterial small subunit ribosomal RNA", at positions 524 to 776 of the family's 1533-position model. The record is from RNAcentral.
UACGAAGGGUGCAAGCGUUACUCGGAAUUACUGGGCGUAAGGCGUGCGUAGGUGGUUUGUUAAGUCUGAUGUGAAAGCCCUGGGCUCAACCUGGGAAUUGCAUUGGAUACUGGCAGGCUAGAGUGCGGUAGAGGGUAGUGGAAUUCCCGGUGUAGCAGUGAAAUGCGUAGAGAUCGGGAGGAACAUCUGUGGCGAAGGCGACUACCUGGACCAGCACUGACACUGAGGCACGAAAGCGUGGGGAGCAAACAGG